Marmota flaviventris (yellow-bellied marmot) is the source of this 84-nucleotide small nucleolar RNA. RefSeq annotates it as small nucleolar RNA SNORA67. NCBI's taxonomy places the organism in Eukaryota, Metazoa, Chordata, Mammalia, Rodentia, Sciuridae. The record is from RefSeq and is a predicted model, not a curated record.
AUUCAAGGUGAUUUCCUCUCCAAGGGCCAAAUGAGAGCCUGUCUUAGGAAAGUAGGAACUUGGAGGAAAAUCUGUUCUAAAUAA